UACGUAGGGGGCAAGCGUUGUUCGGAUUCAUUGGGCGUAAAGGGUGCGUAGGCGGCGCGGUAAGUCGGGCGUGAAAUCUCGGAGCUUAACUCCGAAACUGCAUUCGAUACUGCCGUGCUUGAGGACUGGAGAGGAGACUGGAAUUUACGGUGUAGCGGUGAAAUUCGUAGAUAUUCGCAAGAACACCAGUGGCGAAGGCGGCUCACUGGCCCGAUACUGACGCUGAGGCACGAAAGCGUGGGGAGCAAACAGG
RNAcentral lists this ribosomal RNA (253 nucleotides) under uncultured bacterium. Its description in RNAcentral is "partial 16S ribosomal RNA". It matches the Rfam family "Bacterial small subunit ribosomal RNA", at positions 524 to 776 of the family's 1533-position model. The record is from RNAcentral.